Poecilia reticulata (guppy) is the source of this 331-nucleotide non-coding RNA. The record is from RefSeq and is a predicted model, not a curated record. NCBI's taxonomy places the organism in Eukaryota, Metazoa, Chordata, Actinopteri, Cyprinodontiformes, Poeciliidae.
AUUUGAUUGACCUUGUCCUUCAGCUGUGUACUUCACCUCUUCGGACCCCACACAAAAGAGGACUAACAAUACGACUGGAGGCAGCAACCCGAAGCUAAGGAGAAGAGGUCACGACAAAGUUCAUGCUAACACAGCAACAGAUGGCUCUGGUGGAUUUGGCAACUAAACUUCAAGGUGACUGCAGGUGAUGUUGCUGAAUAUAAAGUUUUUUAGAAAUUUGGCAAACUGUGAGCCAGCUGCCAAAUCCUCCACCGCUGAUGUAAGGGCUGACUUCAUCCACUUCCUGUCAACGCUUCAUGGGGGAAAGCAAGAGAAAAGCCCCGGAUCUUAA